This 1428-nucleotide ribosomal RNA is filed under the name Pelomonas sp. HMWF004. RNAcentral describes it as "bacterial LSU rRNA". It matches the Rfam family "Bacterial large subunit ribosomal RNA", at positions 1523 to 2925 of the family's 2925-position model. The record is from RNAcentral. Lineage: Bacteria; Pseudomonadati; Pseudomonadota; Betaproteobacteria; Burkholderiales; Sphaerotilaceae.
GUUUGAAUCUUUGGCAAAUCCGGGAUUCUUCAAGACCGAGCACCGAGACGAGCCUUUAAGGCGAAGUCACUGAUACCACGCUUCCAGGAAAAGCUCCUAAGCUUCAGCUUACGCAGACCGUACCGUAAACCGACACAGGUGGGUAGGAUGAGAAUUCUCAGGCGCUUGAGAGAACUCGGGUGAAGGAACUAGGCAACAUGGCACCGUAACUUCGGGAGAAGGUGCGCCCUUUUUGGUGGCUCAUGCGAGCUAUAGCUGAAGAGGGCCGCAGAAACCAGGCCGCUGCGACUGUUUAUCAAAAACACAGCACUCUGCAAACACGAAAGUGGACGUAUAGGGUGUGACGCCUGCCCGGUGCUGGAAGGUUAAUUGAUGGGGUCAGCCGCAAGGCGAAGCUCUUGAUCGAAGCCCCAGUAAACGGCGGCCGUAACUAUAACGGUCCUAAGGUAGCGAAAUUCCUUGUCGGGUAAGUUCCGACCUGCACGAAUGGCGUAACGACAGCGGCGCUGUCUCCACCCGAGACUCAGUGAAAUUGAAAUCGCUGUGAAGAUGCAGCGUUCCCGUGGCAAGACGGAAAGACCCCGUGAACCUUUACUAUAGCUUUACACUGAACGUUGAGUUCGUCUGUGUAGGAUAGGUGGGAGGCUAUGAAACUGUGGCGCUAGCUGCAGUGGAGCCAUCCUUGAAAUACCACCCUGUCGUGCUUGACGUUCUAACCUGGGUCCAUAAUCUGGAUCGGGGACCGUGUAUGGUGGGUAGUUUGACUGGGGCGGUCUCCUCCUAAAGAGUAACGGAGGAGCUCGAAGGUACGCUCAGCGCGGUCGGACAUCGCGCACUGUGUGCAAAGGCAUAAGCGUGCUUGACUGCAAGAUCGACGGAUCAAGCAGGUAGGAAACUAGGACUUAGUGAUCCGGUGGUUCUGUAUGGAAGGGCCAUCGCUCAACGGAUAAAAGGUACUCCGGGGAUAACAGGCUGAUACCGCCCAAGAGUUCAUAUCGACGGCGGUGUUUGGCACCUCGAUGUCGGCUCAUCACAUCCUGGGGCUGUAGUCGGUCCCAAGGGUAUGGCUGUUCGCCAUUUAAAGUGGUACGCGAGCUGGGUUCAGAACGUCGUGAGACAGUUCGGUCCCUAUCUGCCAUGGGCGUUGGAGAUUUGAGAGGGGCUGCUCCUAGUACGAGAGGACCGGAGUGGACGAACCUCUGGUGUUCCGGUUGUCACGCCAGUGGCAUUGCCGGGUAGCUAUGUUCGGAAGCGAUAACCGCUGAAAGCAUCUAAGCGGGAAGCGCGCCUCAAGAUGAGAUCUCCCGGGGCACAAGCCCCCUGAAGGAACCAUAUAGACUAUGUGGUUGAUAGGUCAGGUGUGUAAGUACAGCAAUGUAUUGAGCUAACUGAUACUAAUGAUCCGUGUGGCUUGACCAUAUAACCUCA